AUACGGAGGGUGCAAGCGUUAAUCGGAAUUACUGGGCGUAAAGCGCGCGUAGGCGGCUGAUUAAGUCGGAUGUGAAAUCCCUGGGCUCAACCUAGGAACUGCAUCCGAUACUGGUCAGCUAGAGUUUUGGAGAGGUAAGUGGAAUUUCCGGUGUAGCGGUGAAAUGCAUAGAGAUCGGAAGGAACACCAGUGGCGAAGGCGACUUGCUGGCCAAAAACUGACGCUGAGGUGCGAAAGCGUGGGUAGCGAACAGGAUUAGAUACCCUAGUAGUCC
Molecule: ribosomal RNA, 274 nt
Filed under: uncultured bacterium
Lineage: Bacteria
Description: partial 16S ribosomal RNA
Rfam family: Bacterial small subunit ribosomal RNA
Source: RNAcentral